RNAcentral lists this small RNA (125 nucleotides) under Marmota monax (woodchuck). The record is from RNAcentral. Lineage: Eukaryota; Metazoa; Chordata; Mammalia; Rodentia; Sciuridae.
GCCUGGUGCAGUGGCGCAUGCCUAUAAUCCCAGUGGCUUGGGAGGCUGAGGCAGGAGGAUCGCAAGUUCCCAGCCAGCCUUAACAACAGUGAGGCCCUAAGCAACUCAGUGAGACCCUGUCUCUA